CUAGGAGCUGACCUAGGGUCU
This 21-nucleotide non-coding RNA is filed under the name Arabidopsis thaliana (thale cress). The record is from RNAcentral. Lineage: Eukaryota; Viridiplantae; Streptophyta; Magnoliopsida; Brassicales; Brassicaceae.